Long non-coding RNA from Lagopus muta (rock ptarmigan), 4114 nucleotides. RefSeq lists it as uncharacterized. NCBI's taxonomy places the organism in Eukaryota, Metazoa, Chordata, Aves, Galliformes, Phasianidae. The record is from RefSeq and is a predicted model, not a curated record. The transcript is spliced from 3 exons.
CUUGCAGUGGGUGCUGGAGGGUGCUUUCCUAGCCGUUCCAAGCUUUUCAGAUGCACACAUCAAUGAUGCCAGCAUCACAUCUCCCAUGUGAAGGCCCAGUGCAAGUAAAGCAAAGGGAAACCUGAGAGGAUGACUGGCAGUGUCCUUUAGGAGCUGACUGCAAGUAGAUGUGCUACAGAAGUCAGACCUCCAAGCAAGGCAAGGCAAAUGUUCUCAUCAUGGAAUUACUAAGCUGCAGCUCAGACUGCACAUCCAGUAGGAUAGAAGAGCCUGCUGCCUGGUUCCGAGAGCCCUGAGAGCCAGCUUGGAACAUGUCUUUCUGCAGAGUAGAAGCAGCAGAGCUGAUGAUGAAUUAAAGCCAAGGAAAAAAAUAGCAUUUUGCUUAACCACUUCAGCAAAUGGGUGCGUUCAGCACUGUAGUCAUCGUACAGUGAGUGUGCUAUUGAAUCACAUUUCUCAAGUCUCAUCCUUGGAGAGGUGGUAAGAGACAGACCAAGAGAUGAACAAAGGUCUUUUUAUUCCCCUUUGCUGAUGGGAAUGUCUGCUUUCUCACCGUAGGGGUAUUUUUUCACUUGAAUAUGUAACAGCUACCUUCACCUGCAUGACAGGCACCUCCCACAACUCUCUGGGACUACAUGACAACAGCAGAGCUUCAAUUUUAAUAGACUCCAAGUAGUUUUCACAGAGAGGAGCCUUAAAAACUCCCCAAGGAGAGAUCAUCAAGCGGAAUGGUCCCCAGUGCUGGAUUUAUUAGCAGGCAGGAUGGGGAGCUUGAUUAGCCUGCGUGGCUGAGCAGACAUGCUGUCAGACAGGCCUCUUAAUCCAAUCAGUUACCUGUCGGAGGGAGAACUGCCUCCAGCUUCCCAAUGCAGCAGCACGUCGAGGGAUUGAUAUGCCACUGCUUCUGCAAGCCUGCCACCACAAGGAACGCUUCCCUGCAGAGAAACCUCCUUUGUUGCAGCCAGCGGCUCUGGGAGUGACAUUCUUUUGGAGAAGGGGGGAACGUUAAAGGACACAGUGAGCACCUUCCUCUCCUAACAGCACCGCUUGUUGUGUACAGAGCUUUCAGGAAAGACCUCGUAUAAACACAAUUAAACCUCUCACAGGUAUUCUGGUAUUUUUUCUUGUCCAUUUUCAUCUAGGCAAUGGCUGAGCAAUGCUGUUGAAUAGGUCCCACAUAACAUUACUGUACUGAGCUGCUAAGUUAACCAAUGGGCUAGAUGGUCUCAUAUGGGUGUCUGUGGAAGCUUUCCUCAAACAAAGUGAUCCUACAGCACCACAUGCUUUGCUGAGACUCUUUACACAGCACUGCCAAAAAGAGCUGCCCGGACACUAAGAAUUCCUAAGUUUAGUAGAAAGUCAUUUUGAUUUAAGUAACAGCUACCUCAGGAUCUUACUUUUGGUGAUGGACAGAAAGAGGCAGUGCUGCUUUACAGAGUUGCUGAGGUUUAAAGACUUCUGUUUGAAGAAAACAAAGAAUUCCCACAGCCCUGGAGCUGUGUGAUAGCCUUGCUGUUUUGCUGACUGAAUGGGAAGAGCGAAACAGGAGAUCCUUCCAUCUGCAAAAACAGAAAAAGGCAUCUUAUUUCCACAGUGCAUGAUGCAGCAGAGACUGGAAACCCAGAUCCACGCUCAGUUUCCUUGACAACUACAGAACUUCUAAUGACAAUUUGGAGGUAGGAAGACCAGAUGCAAAUGGUUGAGUUGCCAAGUCCUCGUGAAGGAACACAGAACCCUCUGAUUUAGCAGAGGCACUGCUUAGAUUGGACUUCCUGGACAGAAGAAAUCAUCUAUCUGCAAAGUUCAGAUGUUGAACUACUGAUUUAUCACAAGGUUUACCCAAGGAUGUGGCAAACAAGUUCAAUUUCAAAUAAGAAGCCCUAUGAAUAAACUUAAUUACAUUGAUAAGAGGGUAAAAACAUGCAUAUGUUUAUAUAUAUAUGUGUAUAUAUAUAUAUAGUAGCCUCUUAUUACGAUGUGGCCAUUAUAAAAGCAUGCCAAAACAUGAAAUAUUAAAAUGCUUGUAGCUGCCAUGGCUGCAAUUUCAGAUGUUUUCUUCCUUGGUCUCCACGGACCCAUUUUAAUACAUAUGCAAUGACAGCUAUGCUAAAAAAAAUUCAGAGACAGAAAAAAUGAGAGAUAGAAAAAGCGAGAGAAAGAAAGUUAAAAGGUGCAAAAUACAGAGAUGUUUAACAAAAUCAAACAACCAAUCACAAUAACAUUCAAGGUGGAAACCACAGCAGAAACCAAAUAUGAAAGCAGCCACAACAAAACUCUGUGAUCAGAAGGGCUGUAUUUCUUCCACGUACCUAAAGAAACCUCUGGAAACUUCACAAAUAAAUGUGGUUGGCCACACAAAGCUGAGCACGUGUGCUUUUUCAGAACUGCAAGAGAUAGUGAGGGCAGCAGUAGGAGCAUUGCUGGGAUCAGCUGGAGGUGAGACACUGCCAGAAUGGAUUCUGCUGGAAGCCUUGUGGGAGCUAGUGAAAUAAAGAGCAAAUUGCAGCAGCAACAGUUAAUGGUGGUUUUCUGUACCUGAGGUAGGUUUAUGCCAUUUAGCACCUGUGUUUGUUAUACCUGCUUCACUCUGGAAAACAAGAAAACAUUUUCUGCCAUCAGGGGAAAUGUAUUUCACAGUAUUGUUAGUAAAACCAUUCCUCCCUUUUCUCUCUACCCUACCAAUUCAUGAAAGCAGAACACACUGAAGUUAAACUCCAGAGGUGAUUUCUUGUGCUACGUUGUGCCUUCAGUGCUUGGUAUUUAAUAACGCGUUAUUUGGGCUUCUUUGAAUAUCAGGGCAGGAAGGCUGCAGCCAGCAAACUUCCAAGGACAAAACUCCCAGCUCUCCAUUUCUGCUUGCCACCCACCUUCUCUGCAUGGCACAUGCUUGGUGUCAGACUGCCUCGCUUCCUGCUGCUAGUGGGAUCACAGAAUCAUAGAAUGGCCUGGGUUGAAAAGGACCACAAUGUUCAUCGAGUUCCAACCCCCUGCUGUGUGCAGGGUCACCAACCAGCAGAUCAGACUGCCGAGCCACAUCCAGCCUGACCUUGAAUGCCUCUAGGGGCAUCCACAGCCUUCUUGGGCAACCUGUUCCAGUGCCUCACCACCCUCUGGGUGAAAAAGUCCAGCAUAUCGAGCACUCACACUGGACUGGGAGCAGUGCAAAUGCAAGAAGUCAGUUCCUCAUGCCUGAGCAUCUCCUGCACAACACGGAUGGAGCCCGACAAGCCUUUGUUGCUCAGCUAUUCCUUCAAUAGCGAUGUAUUUCGGCUGAGCAGAUCACACACAUGACGGAAUUUUCAGAAGUGCUGACUCCUGCAGACAGGUGGCUUGCGGUGUCCGUGGUAGGCAGAGCCUGGGUACACCCGAGCUGGUGGCUUGGACUGCCUGCAGGAACCCCGAACCCGCGGCUCCCGCGGCUCCCCGGCAGGUGGCAAUGGCGGGCAGGAGAAGAGCUCUGCUCCGUCCGUCGCCGCCCGAAUCGUCGGAAAGGGGAGAAAAUCGCACGAGCUCCGAAGGACUGUAAAGCUGGAGCUGAAAUGCGGCUGUAUAGACAAGCAAAUUUAAGUCCUCCCGAUGUCUUCUUUUCCUAUGACAUGCCGAACGUGUUUGUGGCACGCUGGUUUUACUCUUUUAUGAUUUAAUGGUGUGACCCAACACUCAAGAACUGUAAAUUCCUGUAAAUAUGAGUCAUAGAAUAUUUAAGGUUGGAAAAGACUUCUGAGGUCAUCCGGUCCGAACUCCCCCCCCCUCCCACCGUGCCCACUGAACCACAUCCCUCGGAGCCACACCUCCAUGGCUUCUGAGCACCCCCAGGACGUGACCCCACCACUGCCUGGACAGCCCAUCCCAGGGCCUGACUGCUCUUUCUGAGAAAAAAUUCUUCCUAAUACCCAACCUGAACCUCCCUUGUGCACACGAGGAUCAGCAGAGACCAUUACUUGGAACUGGGAAAUCACAGCUUCUAACGCCACUGAAAGUUUGAGUGACCUGCGAUCACUUCCAAAAACCUGAAACCCUGUUACUCCCUUGUAUUUUGUAUCUCUUGGGCACUUAAACAGGGACUCUAAAAGGUAUGACUGGGUGAACACCACAUCAGGCCAGUUUGACUGGG